ACUUGUCAUCCCACAAAACGAAUUAACAGUAUAAAAAAUAAGACGUGUGAGAUUUGUUCCACACACGCGCGCAAGUUCACGGAGGACAUAAAGAGGAAGUGCACAGCACAUUGUCAUGUGAAAACGAAACAAGGUUAAGAGAUGUAGGCGUCUUAUACGAUUUUAGCAACAGACCAAGCUCUAAACAGACACAUCACAGCUAAUGACAGAGGAGUCUCUCUUUCAUGACCAUCGAUAGCAUCACUAUACCAUCACCGGUUUAAUGUUAUCUGCAGACUGCUCCUCUUGCCCCACAUUUGCAGUGAAGGCUUUUAUGCAGGCUGACAACGUGGUGAAAAACAGCCUCCUCCUCCAGGCUAGCUGAACAUCUGUCUCUGUAGCACUAUGGCUGAUGCCCACAGAUGGGAGACCCAGUAGGAGCCCAGAGAUAGAGGGAUUGGCGUGGUGCAGGGGUGUGCAUUAGUGUCACUUCCCCAGCCCUCCCCCUCCACCCCUGCCUCGGGUUCACACUUGGACGCUUCACUCGCCGAGCACCUCACCGAGUUCUCCGCUGGUAUCUCCAUUCUGAGACAUAAAUGUUUGAUGAAGACACAGCGAUGAUUUAUGAGGCUUCUAGAUUUAGUAAUCUGCCUUUGUUUAAGAACCUAUGAGCAGAAAGAUCUUAAAUUGUGUCAAGUCACAUGCCCUAUGUGAAACCUAAUCAGCCAUAUCGGUGGUUCCGCUGGUAAAGGGCAAAAUGCAUGGCAUCGUGUUUCUGUCAUCAUUACCCUCCACAGAUGAGUACCCUACCUGUCAACAACAUUACAUUCUAAUCUAAACAGACCAAGGCGAAUUAUGUGGACAGAGUGAUAGAACGUUAACGUUGUUUAAGGCCUGGCUUAUGGCAGGGGGUUUAAAGCUUGUGGGUCACAGUGGGAUUAGGUGCGUGGCACAGUCACUUGGCUGUUAUGGUGAAUGACACAAAAAUAGUGUAGUCCAAUUAAUGACAAGCAAUGACAAACUACUCUCUACUUAAGGAAAACAAAUAUGUAUUUUUACCAUAAGGUUGGUGUGUGAGGUAAAUUAUACCUCUCUAGGUGGGUCUUAAAUUUAGCAUUGUUCGUUAUUCAAAGACAGUCAACUCUGUUGUGGGUUAAAGCGAUAUUUCAUUUAAAAAUUGUUCUGCUGAACACAAAGGAAGAUAUUGCAUUAAUACAGCAAUGUUUGUAACCAAACAGUUUUUGAGCACCAUUGACUUCCAUAGCAUUCAUUUUAUCUACUAUGGAAGUCAAUGGUGCUCCUA
Misgurnus anguillicaudatus (oriental weatherfish) is the source of this 1282-nucleotide long non-coding RNA. RefSeq lists it as uncharacterized. The record is from RefSeq and is a predicted model, not a curated record. NCBI's taxonomy places the organism in Eukaryota, Metazoa, Chordata, Actinopteri, Cypriniformes, Cobitidae.